Molecule: ribosomal RNA, 424 nt
Filed under: Calomicrus circumfusus
Lineage: Eukaryota; Metazoa; Arthropoda; Insecta; Coleoptera; Chrysomelidae
Description: partial 16S large subunit ribosomal RNA
Source: RNAcentral
GUCUUUUUGUUUUAAAUAUAAAGUCUAGCCUGCCCAUUGAUUAAAUUAAAUGGCCGCGGUAUUUUGACUGUGCUAAGGUAGCAUAAUCAUUAGUUUUUUAAUUAAAAACUGGAAUGAAGGGUUGGAUGAAAAAAUAGCUGUCUCUAUUAAAAUAUAAUAAAAUUUUAUUUUUAAGUUAAAAAGCUUAAAUUUUAUUAAAAGACGAGAAGACCCUAUAGAGUUUAAUAAUUAGUUAUAUUUAUUUUUUUAGAAUUUAUUUUAUAAUAAAAAUUAGUUAUUUAAUUGGGGUGAUUAAAAAAUUUAAUAAACUUUUUUUGUAUAAUUAUAUUGAUUUAUAAAUUAUUGAUCCAAUAUUUUUGAUUAAAAGAUAAAAUUACCUUAGGGAUAACAGCGUAAUUUUAUUAGAGAGUUCUUAUCAAUAAUA